ACGGGGCGCAGCAGGCGCGAAAACUUUACAAUGCGGGAAACCGUGAUAAGGGGACACCGAGUGCCAGCAUCAUAUGCUGGCUGUCCAGAUGUGUAAAAUACAUCUGUUAGCAAGGGCCGGGCAAGACCGGUGCCAGCCGCCGCGGUAACACCGGCGGCCCGAGUGGUGAUCGUGAUUAUUGGGUCUAAAGGGUCCGUAGCCGGUUUGGUCAGUCCUCCGGGAAAUCUGAUGGCUCAACCAUUAGGCUUUCGGGGGAUACUGCCAGGCUUGGAACCGGGAGAGGUAAGAGGUACUACAGGGGUAGGAGUGAAAUCUUGUAAUCCCUGUGAGACCACCUGUGGCGAAGGCGUCUUACCAGAACGGGUUCGACGGUGAGGGACGAAAGCUGGGGGCACGAACCGGAUUAGAUACCCGGGUAGUCCCAGCCGUAAACGAUGCUCGCUAGGUGUCAGGCAUGGCGCGACCGUGUCUGGUGCCGCAGGGAAGCCGUGAAGCGAGCCACCUGGGAAGUACGGCCGCAAGGCUGAAACUUAAAGGAAUUGGCGGGGGAGCACAACAACGGGUGGAGCCUGCGGUUUAAUUAGACUCAACGCCGGACAACUCACCGGGGACGACAGCAAU
RNAcentral lists this ribosomal RNA (621 nucleotides) under uncultured archaeon. RNAcentral's name for it is "bacterial SSU rRNA". It matches the Rfam family "Archaeal small subunit ribosomal RNA", at positions 325 to 946 of the family's 1478-position model. The record is from RNAcentral.